Long non-coding RNA from Rhagoletis zephyria (snowberry fruit fly), 123 nucleotides. RefSeq lists it as uncharacterized. The record is from RefSeq and is a predicted model, not a curated record. NCBI's taxonomy places the organism in Eukaryota, Metazoa, Arthropoda, Insecta, Diptera, Tephritidae.
AAACCGGCUAAAAUGAUGCCACCGGACAAAUUUUUGAGGCAUUCCUCUGCAGACAAAUCGUUCGUGUUGCCUAUCGUUCGUGAUACAGAAUAAGGCUGUAAUUUUCAUAUAAUUACUUUUACA